CACAAGAGUCAUACAAAUUUGUUUCAUAUUUUUCUUUAACAACUUCAAACAUCUGUGUAAUGUAUUUUGAUUAUAUUUACCAUUCAUUACCUUCUUUGGUUUCCCUGCCCCCUCAUCUCUUGCUAAAACUUUUCUUCUCAAGAAGAUAUCCUCAUACUUUCAUUAAAUUUUUUUUUUUGGUGUACCACUGUGUUUGAUUACCGUUACUUGUAUAAUUACGAGUGGGGUUUUAUUUACUGAAGCAUGGAUAACCAGUGGCUUCACUAGUAAAGAAAAUGACUCUCCUCCAACAGCAUCCCUAACUGCCAAUAGCUCUUCAGGGGCGUGGCCCUGUAAAGCCCUUCCUGUCCCAUAAUGCAAUGCUGCACGUCGCCAUGGCUUCUGUGAAUCCACCUUACAAUUGACACUUUGUGUCCAGAAGACAUUGCUUUUUUAACGCCCCUUGCCCAUUGUCUGGCCCUUACACUCUUUCUGUCUCCUCUUACACAAUGUUCCUGAAUCUUGGAGGAAGAUAUUUUCAGAUUUAAAUCUUUUCUUGGUCCCUUAAUGAAUGAUGAACAAUCCAUUAUCUGUUAGUCGAAACUUCGUGUGCCAAAAACACAAAGAUAAGCACGGAUGACUUUCUAGUCCUCACGGUAUGGAUAAUCCACAAGCCUGGGUUCCUAAAUAUGUCAUGUGAAUCUGUAAACUUAAAUUAGACAUCACAUGGUCACAUAGCAUGACUGCAAUUCCCUGUAAUGCAAACAGAACCAAUUACUGAAUCUCUUUACAUUUGUGGUUUGUUUUAGAUCUCGUUCAGACAAUCUCAGCCUGUCACAACAGCGAUGAGUUUGUAUAUAUCAAAUGACAAGUUGGCUAAAUUAGGUGGGAAGAUUGCAUUAAAUCAGUAGAUUGUCUUUCUGUCAUAUUUCAAAACUGUGUUAGACAAGGGAGCAUCUUCCUUUAUUUCAGGCAGUUAAGAUGUGCUCCAGGAUAGUAUUUGUGAGAUUUAUUUUUAAUCUUAAUUUUGGGUGUGGUGUGUGGCUGUGUUGCAUUUGUGUACAUAAAUGUAGAGUGAACCAUCCAGCAGGUCCAGUUAUUCAGGGUCCCGAAGCGGCGCUACCUGAGGGUCAAGGUGGCGGGAGGAGAAAAGAAGGAGACCAAGCAAGGUUCUGUUGUCAAGGUCUCAUUUAUUGGGGCGAGCGUUACAGCUUAUAAGGCUUUCAGAUAGGGGAAGUGACCUUUGUGAAACACAAAGGAGGGAGGGGCGAGGGUAUUCUUAGCAGCGAUAGCAGGAAGCAAAGAGGUCAUGAGGUGGAGACAUCUGGUGUUUGCUCAGGCUGAAACAUCCUGUGAUUGUUCCCAGAAUCUUCCUGUGCCGUCAGUUUAUGGGAAAGGCUUUUGUCCAACAAUCUCAUAAUCUUGCAGCAGUCAUCUUAGGGGUGAGCGUUUUGUGACUGUAUAGCUCAGAAUGGCUCCCUACAUCUCCCCCUUUUUUCUUUUAUAGAAGACCAUAGAUUUCUGGGGAGAAACUGGGCAGAGGAGCAAAUGACCGAAAGAGGUGUAGCCAUCUCUGUCUUAGGAUGGACCUCUCAAACCCCAGCCUUACCUGUUGUAGGAUUACCUUGUCGUCCUCAAGGCUCCAUGUCUUAGGUUGGUCAGGGGCUAGAGGAAGUUGCCCGUCACUGAGAUGGCUACUUUGGGUCAUCUUACCAUUCCCCCUAAAAGCCUAGGGACAAAAGGGUAGGGGCCAGACGGCAUUACUUUAGGAGCUUGUGGAAGUUGAGCCUCUAUCAAUGUAUUGAGGGCACCUCGCCUUGUUCGCUGUCUCUCUGGUCAUCCUCAGUUGUUCUGGUCUCCAAGCGAUGAUAAUGUACUGAAACAGAAUUUCUAGGCAAAACAGAAUCUAUUUGUGAUUUAGUAAAGCAUGCGAGUCACUGAAAGGCCCAAGGACAGAAGGAAAUCAACAGAAGCAGGACUACAAGGGGUCCUAAAAUCGAAGGCAGCAAGGGGUGUUCCACGGUGACGUGGACUGUUCAAGGUGCCCUUGCAAUAAUUGUUCCUGCACCAACUGUAGGGCCGCUUGAACCUUUUCUUGAGGCAUGGACCACUGAUCGAUCCAGACUGGGUCAUCUGACUUCCAAGAUACUUGAUCAGUCUGGAGUGCAGGAGGAACAUCAGUCUCUAUGAAAAAAGGUCAGGAGCUUUGAACUUUGAAGUGUAUCCUGUGUUUGGCCUAUCCCUUUUAAAUGUGUGGCGGUAGCUUUAAGGGGCCAGGUUGAGGGCCACUGUCUAGAAGAGAGCACCUUUGCAAACGCCCCCGUAUCUAAAAGGCCCUGAAACUGUUUGCCAUCGAGCCAAAGAGACAUCAUGGGUCUUUUAUCAGUUAACUUUUGAACCCAAUAGACAUCUGAAGAGCCCGGGAAGGAGGAACCACGUCCUUCUUCCAUGGUGACCAGAAUCUCCGGUUUUUUGGAACACAGCCCCGAUCGCCAGACUAAUAGACUUGGAUACGUGAUGUGAGAAGGAAUCGACAUCAUUGCAAAGUUUAAUCAUUCCCGGAAUAUCAAGGUCUUGCCUUUGG
Rattus norvegicus (Norway rat) is the source of this 2563-nucleotide non-coding RNA. The record is from RefSeq and is a predicted model, not a curated record. Lineage: Eukaryota; Metazoa; Chordata; Mammalia; Rodentia; Muridae.